RNAcentral lists this long non-coding RNA (263 nucleotides) under Citrus sinensis (sweet orange). Its description in RNAcentral is "long non-coding RNA (CSIN_LNC003830)". Lineage: Eukaryota; Viridiplantae; Streptophyta; Magnoliopsida; Sapindales; Rutaceae. The record is from RNAcentral.
UGCUAUUAUAGCAGAUAUAUUACACUGAUAUUUACAAUUAGAAAUACAUGAUUGUGACUUAUAUUAUUACAUUGAAUUCUGUGAAGUACAUGCCUAGACAAAUAAUCCCUUACAGAAGAGGGAUGUCCAUACUCCACUCGUAUUGCACGAGGAAGAGGAAAUUUUUGAAAUAUUAAACAAAUAAGCACGUUAGCCCCCACAAAAGUAUUUGUGGGGGCUUGAACCGCUGCCCUCACAAGCAUUGUGAGGGCAGCAGCCCACCA